GAUGAACGCUAGCUACAUGCUUAACACAUGCAAGUCGAGGGGAAACGAUAUUGGAAGCUUGCUUCCGAUAGGCGUCGACCGGCGCACGGGUGAGUAACGCGUAUCCAACCUGCUCAUCACUUGGGGAUAACCUUGCGAAAGUAAGACUAAUACCCAAUGAUAUCUCUAGAAGACAUCUGAAGGAGAUUAAAGAUUUAUCGGUGAUGGAUGGGGAUGCGUCUGAUUAGCUUGUUGGCGGGGUAACGGCCCACCAAGGCGACGAUCAGUAGGGGUUCUGAGAGGAAGGUCCCCCACAUUGGAACUGAGACACGGUCCAAACUCCUACGGGAGGCAGCAGUGAGGAAUAUUGGUCAAUGGGCGAGAGCCUGAACCAGCCAAGUAGCGUGCAGGAUGACGGCCCUAUGGGUUGUAAACUGCUUUUAUAAGGGAAUAAAGUGAGUCUCGUGAGACUUUUUGCAUGUACCUUAUGAAUAAGGACCGGCUAAUUCCGUGCCAGCAGCCGCCGUAA
RNAcentral lists this ribosomal RNA (508 nucleotides) under uncultured bacterium. Its description in RNAcentral is "partial 16S ribosomal RNA". It matches the Rfam family "Bacterial small subunit ribosomal RNA", at positions 28 to 523 of the family's 1533-position model. The record is from RNAcentral.